RNAcentral lists this ribosomal RNA (484 nucleotides) under uncultured bacterium. RNAcentral describes it as "partial 16S ribosomal RNA". It matches the Rfam family "Bacterial small subunit ribosomal RNA", at positions 30 to 507 of the family's 1533-position model. The record is from RNAcentral.
AUUGAACGCUAGCGGGAUGCUUUACACAUGCAAGUCGAACGGCAGCGCGGACUUCGGUCUGGCGGCGAGUGGCGAACGGGUGAGUAAGGUAUCGGAACGUGCCCAGUAGCGGGGGAUAACUACGCGAAAGCGUAGCUAAUACCGCAUACGCCCUACGGGGGAAAGCAGGGGAUCGUAAGACCUUGCACUAUUUGAGCGGCCGAUAUCGGAUUAGCUAGUUGGUUAGGUAACGGCUCACCAAGGCGACGAUGCGUAGCUGGUUUGAGAGGACGACCAGCCACACUGGGACUGAGACACGGCCCAGACUCCUACGGGAGGCAGCAGUGGGGAAUUUUGGACAAUGGGGGAAAGCCUGAUCCAGCAAUCCCGCGUGUGCGAUGAAGGCCUUCGGGUUGUAAAGCACUUUUGGCAGGAAAGAAAAGUCGCGGGAUAAUACACGGUGGAACUGACGGUACCUGCAGAAUAAGCACCGGCUAACUACGUG